CAAGCAGCAGCUCUGACAGUGUGCUUCUGCAUCCUGCCUUCCCAGCUGCUCCAGCUCUGCCUCUCCAGGGCUGAAGGAUGGGCCAAGCUUUCUGCUCAUCACAGCUUUGCUACUGACACCACAAACCAGGUAAAGGCAUCAACACCCCUUCAGAAAGAGCCUGCGUGGUCAGUGCAAUGUCAGUCACUCACUGCUGGCCAGGAUCUGAGCAGGGAACCUGCCAGGAGAUGUGAGGAGUGACUGUCCUAUCCCCAAGGCCCUCAUGCUUGUUUGCCUCUGAAAGUCCCUGUCUGCGUGCACUGCUGUGCCACCCUGCCUUGGACACACCUUUUAAACUCCAAAGAUAAUGUACUGCACUUGCCUUAAUGCUGCUUUUGGGAUGUGUGACUGCAAACUACCUCAGCACUUAGAUAACGAUGAGCUAUGGGGGGAAACCACAGCGGUACUUCUAUUUAAAUCCAGUGGGUAAGAUGUACCAUGCCGGUCUUUAAAAUGCCACUUUCAACGGGACACAAAGGAGCCCUUGGCCCCUGUGACAGCUGGGCUCUUAUUUCCAGGGGCACAACUUGUGCUUCUGCUCAUGGGCUACUUACCAACCUGAGGGUGCCAGCUGAGAGCAUGGUAAGGUGUUCUUCCAUGAGGAUGUUGUACAUGGUAACUGCAAGCAUCGAAGACUUUCACUGCACAGAGGAUGUGAGGACUCAACUCAGGUUUGCAAAUUCCAUUCCUGCAGCUGAACACCCCCUGUACCAUCAAAUGGAGCAGCCAUCCCACAGGCCUCAGCCCAGUACAGCUGGGGCUGUCAUCACAAUGCUCAGAUAA
Molecule: long non-coding RNA, 822 nt
Filed under: Junco hyemalis (dark-eyed junco)
Lineage: Eukaryota; Metazoa; Chordata; Aves; Passeriformes; Passerellidae
Description: lncRNA (ENSJHYG00000011823.1)
Source: RNAcentral